UGAGGAACAUGACCUUCGGCGGGGAUAGCCGGCCCAACGGCCGGGUAAUACCGCGUACGACCACAUGGGGACAUCCCUGAGUGGUGAAAGCAGCAAUGCGCCGAUGGAGUGCCUCGCGGCCUAUCAGCUAGUUGGUGAGGUAACGGCUCACCAAGGCAACGACGGGUAGCUGGUCUGAGAGGAUGGCCAGCCACAUUGGGACUGAGACACGGCCCAGACUCUACGGGAGG
RNAcentral lists this ribosomal RNA (230 nucleotides) under uncultured bacterium. RNAcentral's name for it is "partial 16S ribosomal RNA". It matches the Rfam family "Bacterial small subunit ribosomal RNA", at positions 118 to 348 of the family's 1533-position model. The record is from RNAcentral.